RNAcentral lists this unclassified non-coding RNA (327 nucleotides) under soil metagenome. RNAcentral's name for it is "partial contains 5.8S ribosomal RNA, internal transcribed spacer 2, and large subunit ribosomal RNA". The stretch from base 1 to 120 matches the Rfam family "5.8S ribosomal RNA", at positions 35 to 154 of the family's 154-position model. The record is from RNAcentral.
GAUGAAGAACGUAGCGAAAUGCGAUAAGUAAUGUGAAUUGCAGAAUUCAGUGAAUCAUCGAAUCUUUGAACGCACAUUGCGCCCCUUGGUAUUCCGAGGGGCAUGCCUGUUCGAGCGUCAUUAUAACCCCUCAAGCUCGGCUUGGUGUUUGGGCCUGCCGCACGGGCAGCCCUCAAAAUCAGUGGCGGUGCCAUCUGGCUCUAAGCGUAGUAAUUCUUCUCGCUAUAGAGUCCCGGUGGAUGCUUGCCAUUAACCCCCAAUUUCAAUGGUUGACCUCGGAUCAGGUAGGGAUACCCGCUGAACUUAAGCAUAUCAAUAAGCGGAGGA